Molecule: long non-coding RNA, 1293 nt
Organism: Phacochoerus africanus (Common warthog)
Lineage: Eukaryota; Metazoa; Chordata; Mammalia; Artiodactyla; Suidae
Exons: 4
Source: RefSeq, a predicted model, not a curated record
CAUUCUGGGAGUCGCAGUUCGUCGUGGGCAACUUCUGCCUCUCAGGCUGGUUGCAGCCGGCGCCCCGGGUUAGCGCAGCCUGGGCCCCAGCCAUCCUGCCCCCUCUCCGGCCGGGAGAAGCGGGCGCUGGGCUCUGGGGCUCCCUGAGCCCGCGGAGGCCAGCGCCCAGGGCGCACAAGAAGAGCAGGGGUGGAAGAAGAAAGGGAUUUCAAGGAGGGCAUUGCUUAAAGGGAUGUUUGGACAGAGCCAGUUUCGGUGCUGGGCCGCAGCUCAGUGCCUAAUUUUAAUCUCGGGACUGCAGCCUGCGACCCGUGGACGAUUCAUACACGCCAGGUCAUUAGGUCGGGUCCGAUGCAGCUAGGCUAGGAAGCCUUGACGGAAUCCACGGAGUCCUUUGGCCUGUGUCUCUUCCCGAGGGGCAACCGUCUCGACCGUGACGCCUUCUCUGGUGAACGCUGAGAUGCCAAUUUUUCGGUCUCCUCAAACUUCUUCCCUCACACCCGAGUCUCUUCCUCCCCUAGGAGUCUCCUGGUGCAUGGAAUCUACCAGAAACUGGGUAAUGGAGUGGAGGAAGAAUAUCAUGCUGGCAAUUGUCCGGGGCCAGUGCACACCAGACUUUUGCUGUGGGACACAGAGGAAGGUCUGAGAGUUGCUGUUAGAGGACAUGUCCUCCAGAGGGCGACAGAGCACCAGCCGAGCCUGCUGCAUCUCCCUGUUUGCAUCUCCAGGCUCAGAAGGGGAUUGGAAAGGGACCCAUGGAAUCCCAAGGAGGUGCCCAGAGCCUGGGUUUGUUUUCAUGGUGCCCUGACACUGCGGCCCAAUGGGACCCCAUUCAGUGAGGGCAUGGACUUUUGCCAUCACGUAUCUGAUUCCAUUCCUGUCAGUCAGGCGGCCAGAGUAUGAGUGAGUUUGACUGGCUCUCCGGGGUCUAAGGGUCCUUUUCUUGUUUGGAGGCUGGACCCAGAGAAACCUGGCUUCAAUCCUGGACAUGCAGUUUUCAAAUCAGCCUGGCAGGGUGUUUGAAGUCUAGAAACCUUGGUGUGGGUUUUUCAUUGUUAACAAUUGUUUUGUGUUAAAGAGAACAAUUUGGGGGCAUUUAGCAUGUUCCCAAUGUUGUGCCAGCACCACCUCUAUCUGGUUCCAGCACAUCCUCAUCCCCUUGGAGGAGACCCUGUCCCAUUGAUCACUCUGAGUGUCCUCACCCCCCCACCCCAAAAACACCAGAUUACAUCUGUCUCAAUGGAUUUGUCUGCUCUGAGUGGCUCAUAAUAAAUGGAAUCGGGAAAAUGUGAA